GUUCCCAUUUGACUGCCACAUUUUCCUUUGCUAAUAAUUGUAGUGGCUGUGCUUGUGGAUAGAGUAAAAUUGCCAUGAUCUGAAGAGGGUGGAUUGUUUUUGUGUUCUCCUCCUAUAUGAAAUGGCUGAACAGAGAAAA
Suncus etruscus (white-toothed pygmy shrew) is the source of this 139-nucleotide small nucleolar RNA. RefSeq annotates it as small nucleolar RNA SNORA29. The transcript has a single exon. The record is from RefSeq and is a predicted model, not a curated record. NCBI's taxonomy places the organism in Eukaryota, Metazoa, Chordata, Mammalia, Eulipotyphla, Soricidae.